RNAcentral lists this ribosomal RNA (584 nucleotides) under Mucilaginibacter sp. StRD417. RNAcentral's name for it is "bacterial SSU rRNA". It matches the Rfam family "Bacterial small subunit ribosomal RNA", at positions 102 to 684 of the family's 1533-position model. The record is from RNAcentral. Lineage: Bacteria; Pseudomonadati; Bacteroidota; Sphingobacteriia; Sphingobacteriales; Sphingobacteriaceae.
ACGGGUGCGUAACACGUAUGUAACCUACCUUGAUCAGGGGGAUAGCCUCUCGAAAGAGAGAUUAAGACCGCAUAACAUUAAGUUGUGGCAUCGCAAUUUAAUCAAAUAUUUAUAGGAUCAAGAUGGGCAUGCGGAACAUUAGCUAGUUGGUAAGGUAACGGCUUACCAAGGCUACGAUGUUUAGGGGAUCUGAGAGGAUGACCCCCCACACUGGUACUGAGACACGGACCAGACUCCUACGGGAGGCAGCAGUAAGGAAUAUUGGUCAAUGGACGGAAGUCUGAACCAGCCAUGCCGCGUGCAGGAAGACGGCCCUACGGGUUGUAAACUGCUUUUGUACCGGAAUAAACCUUGAUUCGUGAAUCAAGCUGAAUGUACGGUAAGAAUAAGGAUCGGCUAACUCCGUGCCAGAAACCGCGGUAAUACGGAGGAUCCAAGCGUUAUCCGGAUUUAUUGGGUUUAAAGGGUGCGUAGGCGGCUUUUUAAGUCAGGGGUGAAAGACGGUAGCUCAACUAUCGCAGUGCCCUUGAUACUGAAGAGCUUGAAUGUACUUGAGGUAGGCGGAAUGUGACAAGUAGCGGUGA